Molecule: non-coding RNA, 675 nt
Organism: Pelodiscus sinensis (Chinese soft-shelled turtle)
Lineage: Eukaryota; Metazoa; Chordata; Testudines; Trionychidae
Source: RefSeq, a predicted model, not a curated record
AGAACAGAGACACAGAUCCAGCCAGAAGAAUGUUACACAAAAGGACACAAAGAACACGACAUAGGGCUGCUGCAGUGGGAAUCAGUGAGAAUCUGGUCGUGUUUUGCUAGAGGUUCCAUUGAAGAAACAACUGCAGGACAGCAAUAAGACAAGCUGGACCAGCUAGGACUAAAAGCCAAGCCACACCUCUGCAGCCACCUGCCAGAGCCCAGAGGACCUGAAGGUGUGCCAGAGUGCAUGAAGACCUGAUGCGCCAGCACCUCAGCGUCCUGCACGACAUCCACAAGACCCUGGCGCACAAGGUCCAUGCUGACUUGGAGUGGCAGAACCAAUUGAUGCAGCGGUAUGAUACCAUGUGUGCCGUCAUGAUGCCACCACUGAUGCCGCUGCUCCUGGCUUCCAGCCUCCUGCCCUCCCUGCUAUGCCCAUUCCCCAUUCACCUGCCCCCCUGCCAUGCUUCUGCUCCCUUCCCAAGUGAUGCCUAUAUCUCCUCCCCCUGUGCCCCAACCAACCCUGACCCUGUUCCAUCUCCGCCUCCUCUACAACCCCCUGUGCUCCCCACACCCACCCAACCCCCAUGAGGUCCCCACAUUUGAAGUGGCACGUUGAGCUACCCCGCUCCCAGUUCUGAGCUCCCCUCACAGUUCUGAGCCCCUGUCCCAGUUCUGAGCUCCC